AACGAACGCUGGCGGCAUGCCUAACACAUGCAAGUCGAACGAGACCUUCGGGUCUAGUGGCGCACGGGUGCGUAACGCGUGGGAACCUGCCCUUAGGUUCGGAAUAACUCCCCGAAAGGGGUGCUAAUACCGGAUAAUGUCUUCGGACCAAAGAUUUAUCGCCUUUGGAUGGGCCCGCGUUGGAUUAGCUAGUUGGUAGGGUAAAAGCCUACCAAGGCGACGAUCCAUAGCUGGUCUGAGAGGAUGAUCAGCCACACUGGGACUGAGACACGGCCCAGACUCCUACGGGAGGCAGCAGUGGGGAAUAUUGGACAAUGGGCGAAAGCCUGAUCCAGCAAUGCCGCGUGAGUGAUGAAGGCCUUAGGGUUGUAAAGCUCUUUUACCCGGGAAGAUAAUGACAGUACCGGGAGAAUAAGCUCCGGCUAACUCCGUG
Molecule: ribosomal RNA, 433 nt
Filed under: uncultured bacterium
Lineage: Bacteria
Description: partial 16S ribosomal RNA
Rfam family: Bacterial small subunit ribosomal RNA
Source: RNAcentral